GUCUAUGGCCAUGCCACCUUAAACACGCCCAAUCCCGUCUGAUCUCGGAAGCUAAGCAGGGUCGGGCCUGGUUAGUACUUGGAUGAGAGACCACUUAGGAAGACCGAGUGCCAUAGGCG
Pteropus vampyrus (large flying fox) is the source of this 119-nucleotide ribosomal RNA. NCBI's taxonomy places the organism in Eukaryota, Metazoa, Chordata, Mammalia, Chiroptera, Pteropodidae. The record is from Ensembl.